UCGGGGGCAUUCGUAUUGCGCAGKUAGAGGKGAAAUUUUCCGAUCUGCGCAAGACGCACUAAUGCGAAAGCAGUUGCCAAGGACGUUCUCUUAUGAUCAAGAGCGAAAGUCGGGGGAUCAAAGAUGAUUAGAUACCGUCGUAGUCCCGACCAUAAAUGAUGCCAACUGAGCGUCGGCGACGCGGCUGUCAGCCGGACGUCGGCGCUCUUGAGAGAAAUUAAAGUCUUUGGGCUCCGGGGGUAGUAUGGUCGCAAGUCUGAAACUWGAAGGAAUUGACGGAAGGGCACCACAAGGCGUGGAUGUUGCGGCUUAAUUUGACUCAACACGGGAAAGCUUACUAGGUUUGGACACUUGAAUGAGGGACAUAUUGAAGCUCUUACCUUUUUUUGUGGAUGGUGGUGCAUGGUCGUUCUCAGCCCGUGGGUUGACCUGUCAGGUUUACUCCGGUAACGCGCGAGACCUCGGUUUGCUAAAUAGACACGGCUGUUUCGGCACCCGUGAUCUUCUUAGAGAGAGUCUUGACGAGAGUUGAGGGAAGUCGAGGCAAUAACAGAUCUGUGAUGCCCUUAGUUAUCCUAGGUCGCACGCGCCAUACAAUGUGGCGCACAACGAGUCUCCUAGGCCGACAGGAUUUCUCGUCGACGGCAGAUGCAUUGGUCCCGUGGGUUGGKGCAUCUACUCUUCGNAAGUGGAUCGCCGACGCGCGGUCGAUCUCGCGACGCUGUCGCGAGAACUACUGGGCAAUCUUGCAGAGCGCUACGUGACUGGGCUAGACUUUUGUAAUUGUUGGUCUUGAACGAGGAAUGCCUAGUAAUCGCAGGUCAUUAUCCUGAGAUGAUUUGGUCCYUGCCCUUYGUACACACCGCCCGUCGCUCCAUCCGUGGCAUGCGYCGGUGAAGAGGGGGAGGCAGCGUC
RNAcentral lists this ribosomal RNA (915 nucleotides) under Rhipocephalus oblongus. RNAcentral's name for it is "bacterial SSU rRNA". It matches the Rfam family "Eukaryotic small subunit ribosomal RNA", at positions 893 to 1742 of the family's 1831-position model. The record is from RNAcentral. Lineage: Eukaryota; Viridiplantae; Chlorophyta; Ulvophyceae; Bryopsidales; Halimedaceae.